Non-coding RNA from Tricholoma furcatifolium, 75 nucleotides. NCBI's taxonomy places the organism in Eukaryota, Fungi, Basidiomycota, Agaricomycetes, Agaricales, Tricholomataceae. The record is from the annotation of a GenBank genome assembly.
GACACUGUAGCCCAAUGGUUUAGGUGGGCAUAUUACCGCUCUGGUAGGUCGCGGGUUCGAUUCCCAGCAGUGUAA